UACAGAGGGGGCAAGCGUUGUUCGGAAUUACUGGGCGUAAAGGGCGCGUAGGCGGCCUUCUAAGUCGAACGUGAAAUCCCCGGGCUCAACCCGGGAACUGCGUCCGAUACUGGAAGGCUUGAAUCCGGGAGAGGGAUGCGGAAUUCCAGGUGUAGCGGUGAAAUGCGUAGAUAUUGGGAGGAACACCAGUGGCGAAGGCGGCUCACUGGACCGGAACUGACGCUGAGGCGCGAAAGCGUGGGGAGCAAACGGG
Molecule: ribosomal RNA, 253 nt
Filed under: uncultured bacterium
Lineage: Bacteria
Description: partial 16S ribosomal RNA
Rfam family: Bacterial small subunit ribosomal RNA
Source: RNAcentral